Molecule: ribosomal RNA, 468 nt
Filed under: uncultured bacterium
Lineage: Bacteria
Description: partial 16S ribosomal RNA
Rfam family: Bacterial small subunit ribosomal RNA
Source: RNAcentral
GACGAACGCUGGCGGCGUGCUUAACACAUGCAAGUCGAACGGAAAGGCCCUGCUUUUGUGGGGUGCUCGAGUGGCGAACGGGUGAGUAACACGUGCGUAACCUGCCCUUGACUUUGGGAUAACUUCAGGAAACUGGGGCUAAUACCGGAUAGGAGCUCCUGCUGCAUGGUGGGGGUUGGAAAGUUUCGGCGGUUGGGGAUGGACUCGCGGCUUAUCAGCUUGUUGGUGGGGUAGUGGCUUACCAAGGCUUUGACGGGUAGCCGGCCUGAGAGGGUGACCGGCCACAUUGGGACGGAGAUACGGCCCAGACUCCUACGGGAGGCAGCAGUGGGGAAUAGUGCACAAUGGGCGGAAGCCUGAUGCAGCAACGCCGCGUGCGGGAUGACGGCCUUCGGGUUGUAAACCGCUGUCGCCUGUGACGAAGCGUGAGUGACGGUAAUGGGUAAAGAAGCACCGGCUAACUACGUG